UACGGGGGAUGCAAGCGUUAUCCGGAAUUACUGGGCGUAAAGAGUCUGUAGGUGGUUUAUUAAGUCUACUGUUAAAUAUUGGGGCCCAACCCUAAAAAAGGAGUAGAAACUACUAAACUUGAGUAUGGUAUGGGUAAAGGGAAUUCCCAGUGUAGCGGUGAAAUGCGUAGAUAUUGGGAGGAACACCGGUGGCGAAAGCGAUUGGCUGGGCCAUCUCUGACGCUGAGGCGCGAAAGCCAGGGGAGCGAACGGG
Molecule: ribosomal RNA, 253 nt
Filed under: uncultured bacterium
Lineage: Bacteria
Description: partial 16S ribosomal RNA
Rfam family: Bacterial small subunit ribosomal RNA
Source: RNAcentral